UCUAACCAUGACUUCCUGGCUCAUAGGUCAAGGCUCAACCACUGAGCCACUCUGGCCCAGCCUCAUAAGCUUUUGGACUUAGGGUUGAUACAAUAUUGCUGGAAGGCAACUGGGCAAUAUCUGUCAACUACUUCAAUGCACGUACUACUGAUCCAGCUACUCCACCUCUAACGUCUCCUCCUGCAGCAACCUGCAUGCGUGUGCACAGACACAGGCGCCAUGUUUUCUGCGGCACUGUUUGCAACAGGAAAGAAGUGGGGAGGGGAACGUAAUUAUUGGUAAGAGAUUUGAUAACUAAAUAAUGAUGGUGAAUACUCUGCAGCUAUUAACAAUGAUAAUCCAGUCGAACCAGAAAGAUGUCCAUGAUAUAUCAUGAUGUGAGUGGAAACAACAAUAAUCUGUAGAUAAAUGUGUGUGGCCUCAUCCCACUCUGGUUAAAAAAAAAUCACAAUAUUACGUAUCCGUACAAAGAGGCCCAGAGUGAUUGAUGCCAAGCUGUGAAAAGUGAUGCCUUCAGAGGAGGAUUCAAGGGAGGGCUCCAAGGAGAAGGGUGGG
Long non-coding RNA from Myotis davidii, 555 nucleotides. RefSeq lists it as uncharacterized. The transcript has 3 exons. The record is from RefSeq and is a predicted model, not a curated record. Lineage: Eukaryota; Metazoa; Chordata; Mammalia; Chiroptera; Vespertilionidae.